RNAcentral lists this ribosomal RNA (110 nucleotides) under uncultured eukaryote. RNAcentral describes it as "partial small subunit ribosomal RNA". The record is from RNAcentral.
ACCAGAAGACGUCAGAGCCAACCCGCAAGGGAGGCAGCCAACCACGGUAGGGUCAGCGACUGGGGUGAAGUCGUAACAAGGUAGCCGUAGGUGAACCUGCAGAAGGAUCA